RNAcentral lists this ribosomal RNA (437 nucleotides) under Microbacterium sp. EP_S_79. RNAcentral describes it as "bacterial SSU rRNA". It matches the Rfam family "Bacterial small subunit ribosomal RNA", at positions 37 to 484 of the family's 1533-position model. The record is from RNAcentral. Lineage: Bacteria; Bacillati; Actinomycetota; Actinomycetes; Micrococcales; Microbacteriaceae.
UGGCGGCGUGCUUAACACAUGCAAGUCGAACGGUGAACACGGAGCUUGCUCUGUGGGAUCAGUGGCGAACGGGUGAGUAACACGUGAGCAACCUACCCCUGACUCUGGGAUAAGCACUGGAAACGGUGUCUAAUACCGGAUACGAGUAGCGAAGGCAUCUUCAGCUACUGGAAAGAACUAUCGGUCUGGGAUGGGCUCGCGGCCUAUCAGCUUGUUGGUGAGGUAAUGGCUCACCAAGGCGUCGACGGGUAGCCGGCCUGAGAGGGUGACCGGCCACACUGGGACUGAGACACGGCCCAGACUCCUACGGGAGGCAGCAGUGGGGAAUAUUGCACAAUGGGCGCAAGCCUGAUGCAGCAACGCCGCGUGAGGGACGACGGCCUUCGGGUUGUAAACCUCUUUUAGCAGGGAAGAAGCGUAAGUGACGGUACCUGCAG